This is a long non-coding RNA of Pongo pygmaeus (Bornean orangutan), 4325 nucleotides long. RefSeq lists it as uncharacterized. The record is from RefSeq and is a predicted model, not a curated record. Lineage: Eukaryota; Metazoa; Chordata; Mammalia; Primates; Hominidae. The transcript has 3 exons.
UGCACAUCAUGAGACCAGAGGAGACCGAGACAAGGGCUGGAUUUGGCUUUUCUAAGCAACAUGUGUUCCUGCGCAGGGCUGAAUGGUCGCUGAGACAGAGAUGGAAGCCAGGGCAUGGGAGCCCACCUGGCCCAGAUAGGUACAGAGAGCAGAGGCUCCUGUUCUGUCCUCGCCACCCAUGAGGGUGACACUGCUUGUAAAUGGUGGCUGUGCUCUCCCAGCAAGAAAAAAGCACAACUAAAUCCACACCACACACAGACGCAGACAGAAAGCCUUCAAGUGGCUCUGUUUUCUGCUCCCUGCCUCACCAGGUCCACAAGCAGAGAGGAGUGUCAGGCGCAUGGCCCCGCUGUCACGCUCCCCAGUGAACUGAGGGCUCAGCAGGAGCUGCCCACUGACACACAGGGGACACCCACUCUUCCCACCUUGGGAGCGGUUGCCAGACAGAGCCGCACUGGGUGCUGGUGUCAUCCAGGGACCCCACACACUUCCAUAAAUGUGAUCCUGCUUCCCUCUGGGCAGCUGCAUCAUCUCCUCCUGCAGGACCAUCUGGAAACUUGGCUCUCAGUUUGCUCUCCCUUCUCUCCUCUGCCUGCCCCAAGCCCCUCUUUCUAAAAAAGGGAUGCAAUGUUCAUGGGGUUAUUUCUUGAAAAUACUUGGCGGCCUCCACGCUUCUGUUUUCUUUGAGCCAGGUGGUCAGGAUGGUUUACGAAGAAUGCCUGGGCUCCCCCGCAGGUGCCAGCAGAUGGGGUAGCAAAUGGUCCUGUGCCUCCACCUGCUCUGGGAGGGAGUCUCCCGUCUCUAGGCCUGGCCCCUUCCUAACCCUCCACGUAUCCUGUUCUCCAGAGACUUCGGAACCCACUCCUGAGAACAGCGGAGCCAGGUGCUCAGAGGAAGACCAAAUGCUGCCAGGACACGGAUUGUCCAGGGAUUACAUUCCAGCAUCUUAUUAGAGAGGGGGUUUGCUACAUUGCCCAGACUGGUCUCAAACCCCUGGGUUCGGUUGUCCUGCCUCGGCCUCCCAAAGUGCUGCGAUUACAGGCAUGAGCCACCACACCCGAACACUUGGGGUGAUUUUAAGCCCCCAGCAAGGUGCACCAGCAGGACCAGGAGGUGGCCUGUGCACCCCCUAUCACUCCCAUCCAUGCAAACCUAGGCAAGUCCCUCUCUCUGAAUCUCAGCCACCACCACAUACAAUGCAAGUUGGAAAGAUGGGCAGGACUGGGGGUGGGGCAGGCAGAGGCCACCUCUGUCAGGCUGGGGUGGCAUUGGCUAGAGACUAUCUUCCCAUACCUGAGACAUGACCUCCAAGGACCUGCUGUCAGUCAUGGUGAUGGCUUGGAUUGGCAGGGAGCUUGCUCUCUUUCUCGGAGGGCUGGAGCAGCGUGGGGCCAAAGACAGUGGCAAGGUUGUGCAGGGACACCUCAUUGACUGCCUCCUUCUCUGCCACCCUGUAGAGGACUGAAGCAGAGGGUGCUGUUUCAACGCCACCACCAGGAGAGAGGCAGAGGGGCUGUGCUGUGCUAGAGUCCUCAGGGAGGGAGUGACCUCGACCCUGGCUGUGCUGCAAGCUGACUCCAGCCUUGGUACUUCUGGAUCUCAGUGGCCCAGGACAAGGGGCCAACUCUGGGCUGGUGGGGAGGUCUCCACCUUGAUGUGACUGGGAGGGAAGAGGGGGGUCCAAGUGCACUGCUGGCCAUGGCCAAAGCUCUGAGCUCUUUGUUAAGGCCACAGUGCAGAGGGAGGAGGGUGGCAAAGAGGAGAGGCAGGGGUGGGGGUGGCAGCGGUGCUAGUCCUUAGAAGCAGUGAGUUAUUGCAGAUGGGGGUCGGGGGAAAAGGUCCUUGGUGCUGGGGGUCUGGUGGGAGCAGAGGGGCACCCCACAGCCUGGAGACCUGGAGUCCUGGGCAGCCACAAGAGAGCUGGGCUACCUUUCCAGGUGGUCUAGAAGGAAAAGGAAGGUGAGCAGGUUGGCCUCCGGCAGGGACAACAGCAGGUUGAGCAUGCAGCUCUUCUUUGCAACUGGGUCUGAAAGAGCUGCAGGAGGCAGUGGGUUACUCCUCUGGGUUACAACAAGCCGGAGACCUCUCCCGAGGUGGUCACAUGGAGCGCCCGGGACACGAGUCCUUGCGCAGUUUAGGCUCAUCAUCAUCAUCACACCCACAGCUCUGGCCACCAGUGAGGACCCUGUGAGGGGCACCUGUGUGAGGUGUGAACCACCUGAUCACCUUUUCUCUACCUCGCAGGGGUCAGCAGCAGCAGGGUACCCGACCAUGCCAGAGGGGGCAUAGCUCGGUUUCCCACACCUCACUUUUCACAGCCUCCAAGGGCAGCAGUGCACGUGGAGGAGACGUCUCCCAUGAGGCCAAGGCCUCUAGUGCUCACCGAUGCCCUCUGCGAAGUUGGGGUAGAACUCGUCAGUGAAGAGGGGCCCGGGCAGCUCACGGAAGUAUAGCUUCAGCGUGCCUGCAAUGGCGUUCACGUCCAUCUCGCUCAUCAUCACCGACACGUCCUCGUUAUGUGGAAAGAGCACGGAAAUGCUGCGGCCUCCUUGAGGAUCCCGAUAAAUGAAGAAAAGACACAGAGAAGGAUGUGACAUGCCUGGGCCAUGGAGCGCUCUGAGGUCUCAUCGCGGACACCACUGCCCACACCUCCAUCCCGUCCUGCGCAGGCCGACACUCACUGACGUUGAAGGCUGCCUUCAGUGCCUGGAUGUCUGCGGCCACUCCGGACCCGCGGUAGAUGCCCACCUCCUCCAUGCCUCGGCGCUCGAUCUCCACACACUGGCGCGUGAUGUAGGGCACCUUGGACCUCUCUCUCUUGCGGGAGGAGGGAAUGUUCUCAGUGUCCCAACAGUCCUGCUUGGGCCAUAACACAGGAGACCUGCUCCCUAUCUGCACACCCGGAGGCGGGGUGAGGACGGUGACAAAGGUACCCAGGUCUGGGGCUGCACACAGGGCCUUCUGCAUGCCUGUCCUCCCUCUGCAAGCUCUGUCCUCAUUGCAUGUACUUUCUCAGGAACCUUUCAAGCGGCCAGAACCCCUGUGAAUCACACAUGAUCUUUGCGGGAAGGUCAGGAGGCCUGUCUAAGUCAAGUCAGCACAGGAAGGGCAUCUGACAGAUUCCAGGCCUGAGGUUAGCAGCCUGUGCCCCCAGCUGGGAGAUCAGACCCAGUAUUGGUCCUGCCACCUAUGUGCUGUGUGAGAGGAGAAUCCCUGACCCCUGCCCUAGGCCUAGGCCUUAACAAACAUCUGACGAAUGAAUGAAGGGUUGCCUCAGCACCAGUGCUCCAAGUCCUGUGAUGCUAAGUGCUUUUCUCCUCUGAGUCUUAGCAAUGGACAAUUCCAAUACCACCACACAGGACACUAGAGUAAGAAUACUUCAAAGUUAGUGCUGUGCUGAGGCCUUAACUUUAGUUCUGUUUUGCAACUGGAUUUAGGAGCACAUCAAAGCCACUUCUCAAGCCACCCUCAUUAGCAGGGCUUAUUUGGAGGAGCUGCUGAUGGAGUCCUCGCUGCUCAUGCCCAGAGCCCUCCCAGAGUGCUAUGCAAGUGGCUGCCAUGCAGUUGGGGGUGGGACAUGGUGUUUAGACACAGAUAGGAGUCCAGGGUAUGACUGAUGGAGGCCCCGGCCCACGUGACCAGCAAGGUCAGGGGCCCAGCCGGAUUCCAUCCUGGGGAAGCAAAUGAAUUCUCAGAGGAAGUGGUCUGUGUCUGCAUGAACUGCUCUCAAACCCACAAACAGGCUUCUCUUGCCAACUGACCCAUGACAAAGGGUUCAAGAUUGUUUGAAAUAAAAAAAAAGGGAGCAGGGAGGCAGUAGGUCCUGCAAAAGUAAAUUGUUUAUUUUACAAUAAGAAAGUGAUUACAUAUUUCAUUUUUUUUACAAUGGUCAAAAAUUAGAAGUGAUUGUGAAGAUGAUGUCUACCUGCCUUGCUGAUGAGUAGGAUGUGAUUUGGCUCUUUAGGAAACUGAAUUUGCAGAACUUAAGAAUAUUGAUUUAUAAAGGGCAUGGCCAUUGACCCAGUCCAUCUUAUGCAAACCUGGAUUCCAUAAAUAAUAUUUAAAAAUGAAAGUAUUGGGGUGGAGGUUGCAGUGAGCGGAGAUCGCGCCACUACACUGCAGCCUGGUCGACAGAGUGAGACUCUGUCUCAAAACGAAAAAAGAAAAAGAAGAAGCCAUUCCCAACGUUGCUCAUCAAAUUAUGACCAUAAAUUUCCAGGAUCAGACUAACGGCUAAAGAGACUGAUCCAUCAACACCAAGCAGAGAAUAAAGCAGAUUUCUUUUUUUUUUUUCUGUUUUGGAGAGCCUCUAGGAACUUGAAAAA